Molecule: ribosomal RNA, 760 nt
Filed under: Streptomyces sp. utmc1029
Lineage: Bacteria; Bacillati; Actinomycetota; Actinomycetes; Kitasatosporales; Streptomycetaceae
Description: bacterial SSU rRNA
Rfam family: Bacterial small subunit ribosomal RNA
Source: RNAcentral
UGGAAACGGGGUCUAAUACCGGAUACUGACCCGCUUGGGCAUCCAAGCGGUUCGAAAGCUCCGGCGGUGCAGGAUGAGCCCGCGGCCUAUCAGCUUGUUGGUGAGGUAAUGGCUCACCAAGGCGACGACGGGUAGCCGGCCUGAGAGGGCGACCGGCCACACUGGGACUGAGACACGGCCCAGACUCCUACGGGAGGCAGCAGUGGGGAAUAUUGCACAAUGGGCGAAAGCCUGAUGCAGCGACGCCGCGUGAGGGAUGACGGCCUUCGGGUUGUAAACCUCUUUCAGCAGGGAAGAAGCGAAAGUGACGGUACCUGCAGAAGAAGCGCCGGCUAACUACGUGCCAGCAGCCGCGGUAAUACGUAGGGCGCGAGCGUUGUCCGGAAUUAUUGGGCGUAAAGAGCUCGUAGGCGGCUUGUCGCGUCGGUUGUGAAAGCCCGGGGCUUAACCCCGGGUCUGCAGUCGAUACGGGCAGGCUAGAGUUCGGUAGGGGAGAUCGGAAUUCCUGGUGUAGCGGUGAAAUGCGCAGAUAUCAGGAGGAACACCGGUGGCGAAGGCGGAUCUCUGGGCCGAUACUGACGCUGAGGAGCGAAAGCGUGGGGAGCGAACAGGAUUAGAUACCCUGGUAGUCCACGCCGUAAACGGUGGGCACUAGGUGUGGGCGACAUUCCACGUCGUCCGUGCCGCAGCUAACGCAUUAAGUGCCCCGCCUGGGGAGUACGGCCGCAAGGCUAAAACUCAAAGGAAUUGACGGGGGCCC